UACGUAGGGUGCAAGCGUUGUCCGGAAUUAUUGGGCGUAAAGAGCUCGUAGGCGGUUUGUUGCGUCGGCUGUGAAAUCCCGAGGCUCAACCUCGGGUCUGCAGUCGAUACGAGCAAACUAGAGUGUUGCAGGGGAGACUGGAAUUCCUGGUGUAGCGGUGAAAUGCGCAGAUAUCCGGAGGAACACCGGUGGCGAAGGCGGCUUCCUGGACCGAUUACUGACGCUGAGGCGCGAAAGCUAGGGGAGCAAACAGG
RNAcentral lists this ribosomal RNA (254 nucleotides) under uncultured bacterium. Its description in RNAcentral is "partial 16S ribosomal RNA". It matches the Rfam family "Bacterial small subunit ribosomal RNA", at positions 524 to 776 of the family's 1533-position model. The record is from RNAcentral.